This is a long non-coding RNA of Cavia porcellus (domestic guinea pig), 3407 nucleotides long. RefSeq lists it as uncharacterized. The record is from RefSeq and is a predicted model, not a curated record. The transcript has 3 exons. Lineage: Eukaryota; Metazoa; Chordata; Mammalia; Rodentia; Caviidae.
UAGGCAAUGUACUCUCAGAGGUUUAUUUUCGAAACACUUCAAGUGACUAUUUUAAUUUUCCACACUUGCUGUACACACAAGUUGUCGAGGAGAUUGCUUCUUUUUUCUGCGGAACUAGUUUUAGGAACCUGCAGUAAUCUCAAAACUGAAAGGAAAAACGAAUUGUAGUCAACACGUAAAGAAUAAAAUUUUCAAGAUCUGGGGCUGGAGGUGUAGUUCAAGGGUAGAACAUUUGCCUGACAAGCACAAGGCCUGGGGUUCAAUCCCCAACAAAUGAAUGUCAGGAAGUUCAUUAUACUUUAGGUUUUGACUAAGAGCUCAAAUUAAAUUUCGCACUCUGAUCGAAAUCAAACAGGAUAGGUAUGUUAGGUAAAGUCCUUUAUACUUUAGGAAUGGGCGAGUCCGCGGUCUUGGCGCUGAGGCAGGCAGCAGCUGUGGGGAACUAGGCUGAGAGCGAGCAGAGCCGGAAGGCAGCCUUGGCAGGACUAGGACUAGAGGUCUUAUUACUGCUUAGGAAAGCUCCCUCCGGCGCCGGCGCCUUAGGUCACAAGGCUGAGACGACAAAAAGUCAGCUGAAAAUAAAAGAAGACUGGAAGAUUGGAAAAUAAACUCACAGGGUCUCUGUGAAUUUACCUGCAGGCUGGGACAACUGGCAACCCAUUGUGGGGCCCCGAGAAUGGGGAACUUAGUGCGGGACGCUGUUCGUGGGCCCAAGGUAGGAAAAGGAAAAGAAAACAGAGAACCGAUGUGGGAUCCUGCCACACCGCUGAACCUCAGGUCUCCGUGGACUUACCUGCAGGCCGGGACAGUUAAGGGCCCACCCAUCUUCCAACCACACUAGACUGGGCUCUGCAGAUUUUGUGGACUUAGCUGGGCCAUGCCCAGUGACCUUCUUUCAAUCCAAGAAACUGAGGCUGUGCAAGGUGAGUUCCAACACACAAGCCUGGGGCAGGGGAGAGUUUAAGGUCAUCACUCUCAAUGGUUAAGUGCCUGCCCAGCUUACAACCACACUAGACUAGGCUUGGGAGGUUUUGAAGCCCAACUGGACCACUCCCAGCAACCUUCUUCAGUCAAGAUACCUAAGGGCACAUGAAGUGAGUUCCAGUGCAUCAGUGCUUGCCUAGAGAGAGCCUUUGACCAUCACUCACAGUACUUAGGAGCCCCUCCAGCUUUCUGGAACACCAGAAGUGGCAUGGGAGGUCCUGUGGGCCUGACUGGACCAUGCUCAGCAACCUCCAUUCAGUCCCAGGAGAUGAGAGCAUAGGAAGCGAUUUCCAACAUGCCCACGAGAAGCUUUGGAACACCACUUGAAACACAGAAACAUAGGAAAAUAACAAGACAAAAGACCAAAAUGCAAUCUGAAAACUCCAGCCCAUCACAAGAAAGCCUAGAAGUCAUGUACAUAGAAGAAAAUAUAUACCAUACACCUGAAAUACCUGAAAUAAUAGCAACUGAAAUAAAGAAGCAACUCUGGAAAGCUUUAAAGGAAUUCAAAUUAGAAAUAAUCUCCAAGGUAAAACAAGAAAUGAUAAAAGUAAUGAAAGAGAUGCUGAACACAUCUAAAGAAGAUACAGUUAAAAAUUAGAGGCACAAAGCAAAAAUAGAACCCCUGCAUGAACAAUAUAAGAAACAAACAAUACAUGAAGCAGAUUCAAAGAGAUAUUUGGGAAAUCAAAAAUUCCAUUGAAAGUUUUAAAAAUCACCUCAACCAAAGUGAAGAUAAAAUUUCAGACCUCGAAGACAAGAUUGCAGCUAGUGAACAGUAAAGGAAAGAUCUUUUAAAAAUAACAAGGAAUCAGGAAAUAACAAUUCAAUAGCUGCAAGAUGAUGCAAAGGAAAACAACACAAAAUUGAUAGGGAUAAAUGAAAAAGAAGGGGACAACAAAAGUGAUAUCAAGAGGUUAUUUACAGAAGUAAUGACUGAAAAUUUGCCAAACAUGAGAAUGGAAACUGAUAUGUGGAUUAGUGAAACAUAUAGAAUUCCAAAUAGCCAUAGCCAAAAUAAAACUACACCCAGACAUAUAAUAGUCACCAUCCCAGAAAUCCAAUGUAAGAAUAGAAUAUUAAAAGCUGUUAGAAAAGACAGAGCACCUAUAAAUGAAAACCUGUCAGAAAAAGAGCAGACAUCUCAACACAAACAAUGACUUUAAGAAGAGCAUGGAGCAAAGUAUUUCAGAUCCUAAAGGAAAACAAAGUCCAGCCUAGACUGAUGUACCUUGCAAAACUGUCCUUCAAAAUGGAUGAAAAAUAAAAUACUUCCAUGGCAAAGAGUAGCUGAAGAACUUCAUGAUCACCAAGCCAACUUUGCAAAGAAUACUGAAAGACAGUUUAGAUACACUUAGGAAAAAAACCACUAAACAAAGCAGACAGUUAAAUGGAACAGAAAGAUAAAGAUGCAACAGAGAAAGACAACAUGUCAACAAUAAACCAAUAUAUAACAGUUAUAACCAUUAAUGUAAAUGGUUUCCAUUCAGUAAUUAGAAGAAACAGACUGGCAGAAUGUAUCAAGAAACAACAUCCAACCAUAUGUUGUGUACAGGAAACCCAUCUAACCCAAAGGGAAACUGAUAAACUGAAAAUUAAAGGAUGGAAAACAGUACUUCAUCCAACAGGAACCCAAAUAGAGCAGGAGUAGCUAUUCUGUUUGCAGACAAUGUGAACUUCAAACCAAGAAUGAUCUGAAGAGAUAAAGAAGGUCACUACAUACUAGUUAGGGGAAAACUUCAAGAGGAAGAGAUAACAAUCUUCAAUAUAUAUGCACCAAAUUUCAGAGCACCCAGCUAUACAAAGCAAGUAUUAACAGAAAUGAAAAAUCAAAUAAGCAACAACACAAUUAUAACAGGAGACCUGACACCAAGGGACAGAUCAACAGGACAGAAAAUCAGCUAAGAAAUAAAAGAACUGAAUCACACUUGUGAACAAAUGGACUUGAUAGACAUAUACAGAGUUUUCUGUUCAACAACAUCAGAAUGUACAUGCUUCUCAGCAGUGCAUGGGACAUUCUCUAAAAUAGACCAUAUACUGUCCCACAGAACAUAUUUAAGUAAAUGCAAAAGAGUUGAAAUUAUCCCAUGCAUGUUAUCAUAUCAUAGUGCCAUGAAACUAGAAAUUAAUGAUAAAAGAAACUUCAAAAACUCACAAACACAUGGAAAUUGAAUAAUAAACUCUUGAGCAAUCAGUGGGUCACAGGGGAAAUUAAAGGAGAAAUUAAAUAAUACCUACAAGCAAACAAAAAUACAAAUACAACUUACCAGAAUCUGUGGGAUGCAAUGAAAACAGUCUUCAGAAGAAAAUUUAUUGCACUGAGUUCCCACAUCAGGAAAACAGAACAAACACAGAUAAGCAACCUGAUGCUACACCUCAAGCAUCUGGAAAAAGAAGAGCAAGUGAAGCACAAAACCAAAAGA